GUGCAGCAGCCGCGGUAAUACGUAGGGAGCAAGCGUUGUCCGGAUUUACUGGGUGUAAAGGGUGCGUAGGCGGCUAUGCAAGUCAGUUGUGAAAACUAUGGGCUCAACCCAUAGCCUGCAAUUGAAACUGCGUAGCUUGAGUGAAGUAGAGGUAGGUGGAAUUCCCGGUGUAGCGGGGAAAUGCGUAAAGAUCGGGAGGAACACCAGUGGCGAAGGCGACCUACUGGGUUUUAACUGACG
RNAcentral lists this ribosomal RNA (240 nucleotides) under uncultured bacterium. Its description in RNAcentral is "partial 16S rRNA". It matches the Rfam family "Bacterial small subunit ribosomal RNA", at positions 505 to 745 of the family's 1533-position model. The record is from RNAcentral.